Rana temporaria (common frog) is the source of this 340-nucleotide long non-coding RNA. RefSeq lists it as uncharacterized. The record is from RefSeq and is a predicted model, not a curated record. The transcript has 2 exons. Lineage: Eukaryota; Metazoa; Chordata; Amphibia; Anura; Ranidae.
CGGGGCUCGGCCAUGGCGGAGAGGGUGUCGGCAGCAGAGGCUGUAGCGCACUCAUGUAGGAGAUCCAUAGAUCGGAGCACACAGAGUUAAAACCCUUCAGGGGUGAUUGAGUGAAAACAGCUGCUACUCGUCCCCUCCUCCCUCCUUCUGGCCCCUUCCAUUGACCAGAGAAAGAUGGUCCCCAAGACUGUGAAAUGUAAGCCACGAGGUCAAGAAUAGAUGUCACAAGAAAAUACCAUAUAUGGAUCAACUAAUCAGUUGUACUCAUAUGAAUGAUGUCACUCUGUCUAUAAAGCUGUGAGAACAAUAAAGGUUCCGCCUCUUUUGCGGUUGGACACUC